Molecule: ribosomal RNA, 388 nt
Filed under: uncultured bacterium
Lineage: Bacteria
Description: bacterial SSU rRNA
Rfam family: Bacterial small subunit ribosomal RNA
Source: RNAcentral
GACGAACGCUGGCGGCGUGCUUAACACAUGCAAGUCGAGCGGUAAGGCCCUUUCGGGGGUACACGAGCGGCGAACGGGUGAGUAACACGUGGGUGACCUGCCCUCAGCUCUGGGAUAAGCCCGGGAAACUGGGUCUAAUACCGGAUAUGACUUCAUGACGCAUGUUGUGGAGUGGAAAGCCUUGUGCGGCUGAGGAUGGGCCUGCGGCCUAUCAGCUUGUUGGNGGGGUGAUGGCCUACCAAGGCGACGACGGGUAGCCGGCCUGAGAGGGCGACCGGCCACACUGGGACUGAGACACGGCCCAGACUCCUACGGGAGGCAGCAGUGGGGAAUCUUGCGCAAUGGGCGAAAGCCUGACGCAGCGACGCCGCGUGAGGGAUGACGGCCU